CAGAUUAUUUCCCAAAGCUGGUGGAAUUUUUGUGAUUGCUGUAUUUUAAACUACUUACAAACAUACUGUUAAUCUGCUCCAAAAUACACCUGUGUUUCAGGAUCAAGAUAAGUGCAUUUGAAUGCAAAUGUGGUAAUGCAAUGCAAAUUGCUUUAAUGAAAACGAAGCUGCCUCUUUAAAAGCAUUGAUGUUGCCAAAAGAAUACAGAAUAACUUCCCAGAGUACACAGCAUCAGGAGUUUGCUUUCAGAACUAGACACUCACCAAGGAAGGCACAUACAAUGCAUAAAUAAAGUACAGUGAAAAGGGAACAGAAAGGGGAAUAAAGCUGAGAUGAAAGGAAAGAGGAGGAGAGAUUAAAGUGAGAGGGAAAGAGAAUGCUACAAGAAUCAGCAGAAGAUUAAACUUGCAUUUGGUCACAAAAGAAGAAAGAACUACAUUGGUGCAGUCUGGAUACAGCAAUAUAUAUAUACAUUUAAAGAAAAAUGAGGGCGAGAGGGAAUGGUUUUAAGCUGGAAAUGCUUUGGAAUGAAAAUCCCAAGGCCUGUCCUGUCCCAGAUCUGAUCCUAAGUUGAGUGCAAUGGAUGACAUUUCCUUCCAGUGUUCACAGGCAGGAAGAUCCAUCCUUGGGGCGCUGCACGAUGGACUGCGGCUGCACUGGGAACUUGAUCCUCUUUUUAAUCUUGUGACUGAUGAAAUAUAAAUGUGAAGAAAAAGAAGCAACAUCCCCAUCCCCCCAGCCUCCCCAAAUCCAGAAUGGAUCCACUUGACAUGCAGUGAACUGGGGCCCUCAUAGGAAGGGCAGGAGAGAGAACCGGUGUUGCCACUGAUCAGCAACAGGAGUCUGGUAUCACUGCAUCACUGUGUAAAGGAGAAACAGGGAGGGGGAGAAGCAGCCUGGUUUGCUCUAAGGCCUUUGCUGGGGCUCUCGUUCCUGUUCCAUGAAGCACUAAGGCGCAUCAUUUCAGUGAAAAAAAUGCAAAACUUUCCUUUUACUUUAUAGUUUCAAAUCUAGUGAUCAAACUAACAAAAAGAAGUGUAGUAGAGAAAGGGAGGCACACUCUAAUUCAUAAUUCAGAUGUUUUCCUUCUGUUAUUUGGUUUCUAUUCUUCCGAAGCACCACAAGUUAAUAUUCUACAGUAGAGUGACAAAAACAGGGGGCAGCUGUUCAGCCCUGGAGAAAGAAGUCCGCUCACGUGUCUGCAGGGUAUCAAUGGGGACAGUGAUUUACUGAUGCUGGGGUUAUCUCUCUGAGGGAAAGGGCCUUUCUCUGCCAGCUGGGACACAGAGACGAAGGCAGAGAGAGUCACAAGCUGUGUGACAUGGCCGUGCGCGGUGACAUUCUGCUCGGCAGCUACAGGGGGCUGUGCUGCAGGGAAAAAAAAGGCUGGAUUGCAGCAGGGUUGACACAGCAAAAUAGCACACAGGACUGGGACUGCAGUGAGGUGCCCUUUGGCCCCUCACAAGUUGACAUCGGAAGAAGCUGAACUGUCUUUUCACUCUUGCAUAGUGCAGACAGCAGUUAUCCAGUCACUGGAACACUGUGUAAGUAGCAUUAGAGGAGACAAAAUUUUAUUCUGAUGCGCUCAGGUGUCAGGAUGGUGAGCACAGCAGGUAUCUAAAUGUCCUUUCUUUGUAGCUUUUUGUUGUGUGACGUGGGGUGACUCUCUCCAAUGCUGCCCACAGGAGCUCCAGCACUGGUCCUGCCCUUGGUCCCUGGCUCUCCCUCUUUGAGGUCCAUGGCACCUUCCUGAGACUUUUGGCUUUUUGUGCUAAAAGCAUUAGGAGAAGUUACAGCAGUGAGUUUAGGGUUUAGUGGCAGAGUGGAUGCUUAGUUUAUCUUCCUGAACUUAAAAGAUUGAAUACAUGAUUGCUUGUGACUGCCAGGCAUAGACUUGAAGACUCAGACGGUAAUAUUCAGACCUUUAUUCACUGAUCACUAAUUCCUUCCACCGAUCAGUUUUGUGGUCCAUGCCUUCAGUAUCGCUCUGUAUAAAACAGAUAUAAAGUGGCCUGAUGAAGAGGAACAAUCCCAGGGCUCAUGCACUCCAUAGGGCUAAGCAGAAAACCAUGUUCUGUUCUCAAAUGAUUUGUGCGGACAUAAUCAAAUAACUUUCUGCCUCUCUUGCCUCAGUGUGCCCGUCUGUAACCAAAGGCUGUGAGCCAUGGUGCGUGGCUCCAACACGCUGCUGGAUCCCUGGCUGAAAACCUCUGUAACAUUCAGGGAAGUAUAACUGAAACGAUGAAGUUUCUUCUCUAACAAAUGGUCUUUGGGGCCAGGCUGGUAUAAAACAUGUUUGUGUGAGUCUAGUACUAGACUGUCAUUUUAACUUGGAUGGUUUCCAUGGACUGGUGCACUGCAGGUUGAGCAGAGGGCUCUAUGGAGUCCCUGUGGUUAAAGGUCAGUGCUGGUAUCAGCAGAAUUUUAAGUCUUCUCUCAGCUCCUAUAGUGAUGUAUUUUAAGGACAUUUUUUGCUUUUUGUAUGAGCAAAUGUUGCCUGUACGGGAGUAAUGGGCACAUGCAUUCCUGUGUUUUGUGUCUGACCAACCUUCUUAGGUCAGAUGGGAGAAGCAGGACAGGGAGCUGGGAGUGGGGAGCAUCUGCUCCCUGCAUGCAGGAGGGCGGUGAGGUCCCCUCCUCACCCUGUCCCUUCUGUGUUGUCCAUCUGGACAGCAGGACAGGACAGGAGGUUAUCAUAGCUAGCAGAGCUAUCCCUAGGACAAAUAGCGGUGAGCAAAAGGAUCAGAUACAGAUCGUGACAGAUACGUGGACAUUUCAGCUGAACGCUGCUCUGUGCACUACAGUGGUGAUUUGCUUAAAGAUGCCUCAGCAGUGGGUGUGUGAAGAAACCUUAUAGAACCGUCAUCACCAGCAAAAACAAAACUCAGCACCGUAUCCUGUGACCUUGCUGUGUGUCUCUGCCUUCAAGCUGGACUGAUGCUGCUCCCUCAGGUGGAAAGGGAGACAAACCCAAUCCUGGGUGCUGUUGGAGGAGGCUGGGUGCAAUCUUGCUGCUUUUCCGUGCCAGGUUAGUGCCACAGAAUUAUAGAAUCAUAGAACAGUUUAGAUUGGAAGGGACUUUCACAGCUCCCCCAGUCCCCCCUGCCAUGAGCAGGGACAUCUUCACCAGCUCAGGGUGCUCAGAGCCCCGUCCAGCCUGGCCUGGGAUGUCUCCAGGGAUGGUUCAUCCACCACCUCUCUGGCCAACCUGGGCCAGGCUCUCACCACCCUCAGGGGCAACAAUUUCUUCCUCAUGUCCAGCCUGAAUCACUCCUCUUUUAGUUUAAAAUAUCACCUCUUGUCCUGUUGUAACAGGCCCUGCUAAAAAGUCUGUCCCCAUCUUUCUUGUUGUCCCCUUUUAAGUACAAAAAGGUCACAAUAAGGUCUCCCCAGAGCUUCUCUUCUCCAGGUUGAACACCCCAACUCUCCCAGCUUGUUAAAUCAGUCUUAGUGGAUUACACUGGCUUAAUAAAUGCAAUCCCAUUUCCUUCAGCUCCAAGGCUACAGCCCACUUACUGAGAGCAACUUCUGUAGCACGGGAUGCAGACAUCUUGUACUGGCGCUGGGGCUCAUGGACUCAGUCCCCGCCAUCAUUCAUCAUGGGCUUCUCAAACGAGGCGAGGAUGCUCUGCGGGAACAACUGGCAGCCAGAGCAGCAGGGAGGCUCAUGCAGAGAGAUAUUUUGUCUUUGCGUCCUCAACUCGGAGCUUCCCUCUUCUCCCUCGCGUACCAGGAGCAGUGGGUGAGCACUCAGCGCCGUCUUUCCAGUGUCAGUGCCAGGGAGCAGAUGCUGUGGCUGUUGUAGGAUACUGAGCCUGCCUUCAGACCUCUCAGGCCGUUAAUGGCAUUUGCAGCCCCUCUCAUUCAUUCAUUCAUUUUUUUUUUUUUCCCUAAAUGUGAGUAUGUAGAAGUUGAUGAUAAGAGCAAAAAUAGAGCUGGCUGCUCCCAGGAUAUGCUACUCCUUCCAGCACUGAAUUAUCUGUAAAAUGACUGAUGAAGGGAUACAGCUUUUUGCAAGGAGUUUGCCUUCAAAUGCUGAUUACUGGACAGCAAAAUUGCACAUAUUUCUAUAGCCAUCUUUUCAGGCCCUAGAACUGUUUCCCUGUCUGGAAAACCUGGGAGUGUGGACCAUGGCGAUGUGGAGUGAGAAGUGCAGCAGGUUGGUGAGGACAAGGACAAGAGCUGCAGGUCUCCUCCUGCCCUGGCCAGCGGCUCGAGCCACCAGCAUGUCCCACUUGGUGCCUGUGCUGUGGAAACUGAAAGCUGUGAUUAUAGCUCAAGAAAACAAUAUACCUCCAGAACUUUCUGGCUGCUGGGAAGAGUUAUUGCUGCACCUCCUGACUGUCUAGCAAUACCCAGCUCACUUCAUUAUUUACUUUGCCGUACUGAAGCAGAACAGGGUAUCCAUUGUCAUUUUGUUCCCUUUCAGGGUCCAUCAGCUGUGAAAAUUUCCUCUGCUGCUUUGACAUUUGCUUUACUGUAUAAACAGAGACAUUCAGGUUUCUGUCUUUACUCCCUAUGUCAUUCAAACCCGCAGAGCUCAGGAAGGAACGGGAAGAGAAAACUUGCGUCUGAUGCUGAGGAACUGCUGGGAAAAGUCAUCUGCUCUCCCCCUGACUGCUUGAUGUGCUGCGGAAAGAGGAUGGAUUUUACCAGACUUAUUUGUGCUGUGUAGCCUGUCUGAAAUUUAGUCUGUUACUGUCUUAGGUUUAUAAACAGAGUUGGUGCUGAUUAUUGGUGAAAUCUGGCUAUAGGGCAGAGCGUGAAGACCUACCUAUAGACAACAAUGUAUAAAAGUGUGGAAGUGGAAGAAGGAAGACCCAGGGAGGCAGAGAGAAGCUAUAAAGGAGCCAAAGGAGCUGCAGCAGGAGCUGAAAAGCUGCAGGUAGAAAGGCCCCAGCAGAGAAGUGCAGCAAGCAGCUGUAAAUCCAGCUGUCACCACACCUCUGGGUUUGGAUCCACAUGUUGGUCCCUAUGUUUCCAAACUGGUGGUGGUAUUUCUCAAAACGUAUCAGACUUGGGGCUCCUUAGGGAAAACAGCACAUGUGGGUUUUUCCCUGUCUUUGGGUUCAGCCAGGAUUUUAGGUAGAUUGCCCCUUUUUACCUUUGUAUAGUGUAAUCUGUUGUUGUUGUUUCUCUUUGGUAGCAGUUCAUCUCUUAGAAAAACUGGAGCAAAUACGAUACUUGAUUUCCCCUGUCAUAUGGUGAAUUCCUCUGCUUCAUAUGUUGGUUGGGUAGCUGAUGAAGAACACCAGGAGGAAAAAAAGCAAUUUAAUCCAGCACAGGCACUCACAGCUGGUAUCACAGCUAUGUAUUCAAAGUGAUGGUUACAAUACUGCUGGAAAGACAUAACAUUUACUGUUUCCAAUCAUGUUAAGCUCUUCCCAGUUAAAGCCACACUGUUCUUCAUCUUCAGAGUUAAACCCCCAGAUCUGUGCUUCGAGUAACCCUGUGCCCUCAGUCUCUGUGCGUGCGGGUAAACCCAGCAAGGAGCAUGAGAACUGCAGCGAGUAUGGGGAGAAAAUGUAUUUGCGUGGAUUCAUGCGAGGCUUGUCUGCUUCAAAUAUACCUGUUCUCGGGUAAUUACCAGCUGCUUUUGAAUCUUUCCAGAUUCCCUGAUUCUGCCACCCACUCUUAACAUGGACAACAGGAUUUCUCAGUCUCGGCUGUGCUCAGAUCCCCCUUCUCAUGUUGUCAAAUGACUACUCCAGAAGUGAAAAAGAUACGAAAGCUCUGCAGCAUAUUAAGUGGUUGUUAGUGAAUAACUCCAAGUUAGACUGUGUUGGUAGGCAAAUGAGGGAAAUUUAACACUUUACAGGUUGCCAUUAAAAAAAGGGUGGUGGCCUCAAGUUGUGCCAGAGGAGGCUUAGAUUGGAUAUUAGGAAAAAAUUCUUCAUGGAAACGGUUGUCAGGCAUUGGAACAGGCUGCCCAGGGCAGUGGUGGAGUCACCAUCCCUUAAGGGGUGUAAAAGGUGUUUAGACGAGGUUCUUAGGGACAUGGUUUAGUGCUAGAGUUAGGUUAGGUUAUGGUUGGACUCAAUGAUUCUGAGGGUCUCUUCCAGCUGAAAUGAUUCUAUGAUUCUACAAUGAAGUACAAAUACUUAAAAAAAAAAGCAUUGCAAUCUUGUAAUCCAUCACUCCUUCUCCCUGACAGAUUUGGGGUAUUUCUCAAAGGCUCUUGGUUCCUUCCACACCUCCUGACCCCUCUGCUCUCCCUUCCCCUCUCUCCCAUCAGCAAUUCUCAGCUCAGCGACCUGAGUCGGUUAACAGUGCCAGUUAAGAAACAAGGGGGUAUCAUAAAACACCAAGUAACUUUGCAAGAACACAAGUGAUAUUUUGCAGUUUUUGGUGAAUUGCCUUGGACAUGCUUUUGGUAGGUUUGCAGCAUGCAGGAUCUCUGCUGAAUCACAGAAGACCUGGCCCUUUAGUGCCCCCACCAUCAGAAAAUGCCCAUAGCCACGGGGGGCUCUGCCCGGGGCUGUGUGUGUAUUCAGCUUGAUAAAGCCAAGCAGGACCCUGCAGCCGUUUGUCAGUGGAGCAGAGCUGGGCAGUGGCCUUGUGGCUACAAGGUUAAAUAAAGCAGGCCCUGAAAUGCGUGUGUGAGAAAUGGGAUGGCUGCCAUGGAGGUAAAUCAACGGCGAUAACGGCGGCAGUGAGAAAUACCGCUGCCUGCUCCCUUCCCGGAGUCCUGCGAGUUCCCAAGUCGCCUUGAACAAAGGGUUGGUAACAAAUGGCAGAACGGGCUCUUGGUUCUGAAAAACUUAAUUUUGACUAAUCAGCCACAAAGGUGAAACUGGAAAGUGAUUUUCCUUUCCUGCAAUGACCAAACUCCAGUGAAACCACUCUGUUAAGAGUAUUUGCAGUCUCUUGUUUUUCCCCUAGUCCUCCACUUUAACUGCAUGGCUGUGUAGUUAUUAGGAUUGCUCAGCGCUGGGGAGCUUUUCAGCCAGAUAGACCUCAGGAUGUUCCAGUGGAGCCUGAUGUGGCUGACAUGCCACCAACUGUGCCGGGUUUGCCAUGUCCCAGCACCAGCAGUUGUACCUUCCGUGGGGAGUGCGAGGUGGAUUGGAGAAAAUGUUUAAAUACUUGUGAAUAACAAACUAAUCUGAGAGUUUGGUGAUCUGUUCAUAGACAAUUUAUAGGUGGUGAAAGGUGAAACUGUUUGAUCUGUUUAUAGUAAAUGACUCAGCUUUUUUCUUCUCAAACUCUGGUCAACAAGAAAAGCAAGAACUCCCCGUACAAGUACCAGCUACUGGGUCUGACAUUGUCAAGGCUGAGAUAUUGAUCUUCUGCUCCUGGCAUUUGAUGAGUCCCAGCUCCAGGGGGUAUCACUAGGCUGCAGAUCCCUAGGGCUACAGACAGCUCUGGUUUCUACCAUCCCACAGGAAAGGUUGGGCAGCACCAGGUUGUUGCACAAAGCCCAGGGAAGGGAGGUUGCUAACCCCCAGGUUAGUGCUAGAAUUAGUUUAGGUUAUGGUUGGACUCAAUGAUCCUGAGGGUCUCUUCCAGCUGAAAUGAUUCUGUGAUUCUAGGUUUUCUGCUUCAGCUU
Molecule: long non-coding RNA, 7549 nt
Organism: Columba livia (rock pigeon)
Lineage: Eukaryota; Metazoa; Chordata; Aves; Columbiformes; Columbidae
Exons: 3
Source: RefSeq, a predicted model, not a curated record